AGGAUCAUUACCGAAUCGUCAACAAGGGUUGUUGCUGGUCCUCAAACGGGGGCAUGUGCACGCUCUGUUCACACAUCCACUCACACCCUGUGCACCCUCUGUAGUUCUAUGGUCAGGGGGCCUGUCCUCCUGCUGUGGUUCUGCAUCUUUACACACACACACGCUGUAACAAAGUCUCAUGGAAUGCAUGUCGCGUUUAACGCAAUACAAUACAACUUUCAGCAACGGAUCUCUUGGCUCUCGCAUCGAUGAAGAACGCAGCGAAAUGCGAUAAGUAAUGUGAAUUGCAGAAUUCAGUGAAUCAUCGAAUCUUUGAACGCACCUUGCGCCCUUUGGCCAUUCCGAAGGGCAUGCCUGUUUGAGUAUCGUGAACACCUCAACUCAUUGUGGUUUUCCAUGAUGGGCUUGGACUUUGGGGGUUUUGCUGGCCUACGGUCGGCUCCUCUAAAAUGAAUCAGCUUACCGGUGUUUGGUGGGUAUCAUGGGUGUGAUAACUAUCUACGCUUAUGGUUUUUCCACCAGGUAACCUUCGGCAGCGGAGGUUCACUGGAGCUCAUAGACGUCUCUCCUUUGUGAGAACAGCCCUUUGAAUGUUUGAUCUUAAAUCAGGUAGGACUACCCGCUGAACUUAAGCAUAUCAAUAAGCGGAGGAAAAGAAACUAACAAGGAUUCCCCUAGUAACUGCGAGUGAAGC
RNAcentral lists this ribosomal RNA (694 nucleotides) under uncultured Thelephoraceae. RNAcentral describes it as "eukaryotic LSU rRNA". The stretch from base 214 to 368 matches the Rfam family "5.8S ribosomal RNA". The record is from RNAcentral. Lineage: Eukaryota; Fungi; Basidiomycota; Agaricomycetes; Thelephorales; Thelephoraceae.